Molecule: unclassified non-coding RNA, 2222 nt
Filed under: Hevea brasiliensis (rubber tree)
Lineage: Eukaryota; Viridiplantae; Streptophyta; Magnoliopsida; Malpighiales; Euphorbiaceae
Source: RNAcentral
GUUUGGUGUUUGUCAAAAGUUGUAAGUCAUAAUAUCUUAGUAACUCAAACUCAACAUAAUUUUACAUCACUGCCAUGUAUAUAUGUUAUAAUUGUAACAAGUAAUAUAAAGACAUUCAAGCAAAAUUAUCAACAUUACAAUCAACAAGUAUAAAUUUCAUGCAAUACCAUCAUAUUACAAUCACCUUCCAUCCUUUGCCUUGAAAGAAUAAUUCAUCAUUGUUGAUUCCGCCUCCAGACCCCAGUAGGAAGAGGGAAAUUGACUACUUGGUUACAGAAGCUAACCUCUGCAUAGCAUAAUAAAGGCAUCGCAUCUCUCAACUUGCUCCAGUCCAUCUUUAGGUGUGGCAACAACCUCAAACACAAACCCUCCAACUUCCAAGUCGUUUCACUUAAGCAAAUGUCGACCAGGCGUCCUUCCUCUAUGCAAAGAUAUUCUAAAUUAGGAAGCAUCUCAGGACUAACCCAUCUUGGCAAUUUUUCAUGAUUGUAAGCCCUAAGAUACAGCUUCUUAAGGUGAGGCGGAGGUAAAAGUGGAUCUAGCAUCUUUUGCAUUGUUGUACCUUCCAUCCCUUCAGAGUCAAAAUCAAUGGCUAAAAGCUUGAGUUUCUUGAGUUUUGACAGGACACCACAUUCCUUCUCUGUUAUUUCACUGUUAUUGCUCAAACUCAUUCGCAAUACUCUUAACUCGGUUAGGCCUUCAAGCUCAAGAAGUUGACAACUUCUUCUGUUUGCCUGACGAAUCAGUUUCAGUCCAGAUAUUUGUUGAAGCUGGGACAGCCUGCCUAGUCCACGAGGCAGGUAUGGAAGCAAUUGGCAAGAGCUUAAGUCCAAGACUACCAGACUCUUCAAAAAAGUGACUGAAGGUCUUAUUUUGUAUAGCUUAUGGCAUCCAAUUAAAACUAAGAGCUGGAGGUUCUGGAGUUUGCAAAUGGAAUCCGGCAAUUCUUCAAGGCCCUCGGCUCUACUUAGAUUUAGAUAUGCAAGGCGUUUGAGAGAACUCCAACUCAAGAGUCUAUUUAAAGUGAUUUUGUCGAACUUAUUGUCUGACAAGUCAAGUGCCCUGAGUGAGUGGAGUGAAACCAAAUUCAUGGGAGGUUGGCUGCCAGUCACCUGCAGCAAUGCUCUGAGCUUUGUAUUUCUGUUUAAUGAUUGCGCAUCCAUUUCGCUCGUGAAUCCUAACCAUGGAGAAUAUUCAUUUAAUUUUUGUAUGCCCUUGCUAUCAAAGGUGGAAAGUUUCUCCUCUUGUGCCAUCAUAAGGGUCAAGUCUCGCACCAGAUCAUGCAUUUUGCAUUUGUUGACUCUUCCAUCAAAGCCUCGCCUCUCCACAGCUUCAACUAGACAUCUGCUGACCAGUUGCGAUAAAUGCUCAAAGGCCAACUCCGUUGGAUUUUUGAUUUGAUGCCUUGGAUAAGACCAUCUCCAACCCACCAAUGGACUAGCUUCUGAGCUGGUAUCUCAAAGUCUUCAGGAAAAAUGGAGAAACAUAGUAGACAUUGCCUUAAAUGUGGUGGGAGUGCCUUAUAACUCAGUUGCAAAGAAGUCAUAACGACACAGUUUUCUUCCGUGAUGCUCGGGACUGAAAAUUUUUUGCAAAUUNNNNNNAUCAAGAGAAUCUGUCGAUCCAAGUGAGGCUCCUAUAGUCUUGAUUGCCAGAGGAUGUCCCUCACAUUUAUCCACGAUUUCCUUACCCAAUUUUUCAAAAUUUUCAAUAGGAACACUGUCCUCUUUUUUCCUGGAAAAUGCAUGCUUGGAGAACAAUAACCAGCUUUCACUUUUAUUAAGAACAUUGGGUUGAUGAAUUUUGUCAACUUCAAUAGCAGAUGCGACAUCUUUGUCUCUGGUCGUGAUAAUAAUGCAACUCCCCUUACAAGCAUAAUCCGGCAAUACAGAGAAAAAAUUCAUCCACCAUUUGAGACCUGUCUCCCACAUAUCAUCCAAAAUAAUCAGACAGGUCUUGGCUCUUAACAGUGAAAUAAUAAUUUGUAGCAUCUGACGAGGUUUUUCUAAUGAUUGCUUUGCAAUUUGUUCUCCUGAUUGUUGCAGGAUGCUCCUCAAGAUCUCCUCCACUAUAAAUCUCUGAGAAAUUGACACCCAAAUCCUCUUCUGGAAAUGCUGACAAACAUCAUUAUCAUUAAAAAUUUCCUUGGCAAUAGUGGUUUUCCCCAAGCCUCCCAUCCCCACAAUGCCAAUCUUUUGAAGCUUGUAAUCGGGGCAAAAAAU